UACAGAGGGUGCAAGCGUUGCUCGGAAUCAUUGGGCGUAAAGGGCAGGUAGGUGGUCUCAUUUGUCUGAGGUGAAAUCCUGGGGCUUAACCCCAGAAGUGCCUCGGAAACGGUGGGACUCGAGUGCUGGAGAGGGUCGUAGAAUUCCCGGUGUAGCGGUGAAAUGCGUAGAGAUCGGGAGGAAUACCAGAGGCGAAGGCGACGACCUGGACAGUGACUGACACUCAACUGCGAAAGCGUGGGGAGCAAACAGG
RNAcentral lists this ribosomal RNA (253 nucleotides) under uncultured bacterium. RNAcentral describes it as "partial 16S ribosomal RNA". It matches the Rfam family "Bacterial small subunit ribosomal RNA", at positions 524 to 776 of the family's 1533-position model. The record is from RNAcentral.